This 81-nucleotide transfer RNA is filed under the name Amborella trichopoda. RNAcentral's name for it is "tRNA AMTR_s02891t00273590". The record is from RNAcentral. Lineage: Eukaryota; Viridiplantae; Streptophyta; Magnoliopsida; Amborellales; Amborellaceae.
UAUUACUAGUAGUACUUGUACAAUUACGAGUAGUACUUCUACUACUACAAGUAGUACUUGUGCUGCUACGAGUAGUACUAG